Molecule: unclassified non-coding RNA, 212 nt
Filed under: Ascomycota sp.
Lineage: Eukaryota; Fungi; Ascomycota
Description: partial contains small subunit ribosomal RNA, internal transcribed spacer 1, and 5.8S ribosomal RNA
Rfam family: Eukaryotic small subunit ribosomal RNA (bases 1-47)
Source: RNAcentral
AAAGUCGUAACAAGGUCUCCGUAGGUGAACCUGCGGAGGGAUCAUUAACGAAUGGUCUCCGUGCCUUCAAACCCCAUCACACCCUGUGGAUGCAUGAACUGUGCUUUGGCGCCCCCUUACGAUGUUGGGGGGAGCCGCAUUUAUGCGGUCUACCGUAUGUCGUCUGAAUGUUUGCAGAAUCAAAACUUUCAACAAAGGAUCUCUUGGCUCUC